CAGCACCUCAAGUGGUCAGGAUGAUUAUUGGGCCUAAAGCAUCCGUAGCCGGCUCUGUAAGUUUUCGGUUAAAUCUGUACGCUCAACGUACAGGCUGCCGGGAAUACUGCAGAGCUAGGGAGUGGGAGAGGUAGACGGUACUCGGUAGGAAGGGAUAAAAUCCUUUGAUCUAUUGAUGACCACCUGUGGCGAAGGCGGUCUACCAGAACACGUCCGACGGUGAGGGAUGAAAGCUGGGGGAGCAAACCGGAUUAGAUACCCGCGUAGUCC
Molecule: ribosomal RNA, 270 nt
Filed under: uncultured archaeon
Lineage: Archaea
Description: partial 16S ribosomal RNA
Rfam family: Archaeal small subunit ribosomal RNA
Source: RNAcentral